UAGAGUUUGAUCGUGCUCAGGACGAACGCUGGCGGCGUGCCUAAUACAUGCAAGUCGAGCGGACCGACGGGAGCUUGCUCCCUUAGGUCAGCGGCGGACGGGUGAGUAACACGUGGGUAACCUGCCUGUAAGACUGGGAUAACUCCGGGAAACCGGGGCUAACACCGGAUGCUUGAUUGAACCGCAUGGUUCAAUCAUAAAAGGUGGCUUUUAGCUACCACUUGCAGAUGGACCCGCGGCGCAUUAGCUAGUUGGUGAGGUAACGGCUCACCAAGGCGACGAUGCGUAGCCGACCUGAGAGGGUGAUCGGCCACACUGGGACUGAGACACGGCCCAGACUCCUACGGGAGGCAGCAGUAGGGAAUCUUCCGCAAUGGACGAAAGUCUGACGGAGCAACGCCGCGUGAGUGAUGAAGGUUUUCGGAUCGUAAAACUCUGUUGUUAGGGAAGAACAAGUACCGUUCGAAUAGGGCGGUACCUUGACGGUACCUAACCAGAAAGCCACGGCUAACUACGUGCCAGCAGCCGCGGUAAUACGUAGGUGGCAAGCGUUGUCCGGAAUUAUUGGGCGUAAAGCGCGCGCAGGCGGUUUCUUAAGUCUGAUGUGAAAGCCCCCGGCUCAACCGGGGAGGGUCAUUGGAAACUGGGGAACUUGAGUGCAGAAGAGGAGAGUGGAAUUCUACGUGUAGCGGUGAAAUGCGUAGAGAUGUGGAGGAACACCAGUGGCGAAGGCGACUCUCUGGUCUGUAACUGACGCUGAGGCGCGAAAGCGUGGGGAGCGAACAGGAUUAGAUACCCUGGUAGUCCACGCCGUAAACGAUGAGUGCUAAGUGUUAGAGGGUUUCCGCCCUUUAGUGCUGCAGCAAACGCAUUAAGCACUCCGCCCUGGGGAGUACGGUCGCAAGACUGAAACUCAAAGGAAUUGACGGGGGCCCCGCACAGCGGUGGAGCAUGGUGGAUUAUUCGAGCACGCGAGACUUACCAGGUCUUGGACAUCUUCUGCACUCUAGAAGAAUAGGCUCCCCUCCGAGCAGAGUGACAGUGUUGCAUGGUGGUCGUUCAGCUCCGGUGUCUCGUGGAGAGG
RNAcentral lists this ribosomal RNA (1084 nucleotides) under Bacillus licheniformis. RNAcentral describes it as "bacterial SSU rRNA". It matches the Rfam family "Bacterial small subunit ribosomal RNA", at positions 1 to 1082 of the family's 1533-position model. Lineage: Bacteria; Bacillati; Bacillota; Bacilli; Caryophanales; Bacillaceae. The record is from RNAcentral.